Long non-coding RNA from Archocentrus centrarchus (flier cichlid), 1651 nucleotides. RefSeq lists it as uncharacterized. The transcript is spliced from 3 exons. NCBI's taxonomy places the organism in Eukaryota, Metazoa, Chordata, Actinopteri, Cichliformes, Cichlidae. The record is from RefSeq and is a predicted model, not a curated record.
AUCCAGCUACACCCAACCAUCUGUCAAUCACUCGGCCCACUUCCUGUUUGUUGCAGAGCCCGCCCACCAAGGAAACUACAGCUGUGUUUAUGACGUCCAUGUUUCUGACCAUAACUUCUCCUCUGAGAGCCGCCUGCUGCCUGUCACUGUCUCAGAUCCAACAGCUCGCACCGUCACAGCGGUCGUCCUGCUGCUGAUCCUGCUGUCUGUGAUCGCUGCCCUUUACUUCUACUGGAAGGCCAGCAGGGGGCGGGAGCCAAGCAGACCUGAGAGCAUUGAGCUGGUGUCCAAUAUCUUCUGUGUUUGUUCGGCCGAAGGAGCUCAGGGAGCAGAGGAAGAGCUCCCAGCAGAUCAUCUCACAUCCUAAAGAAUCUCUGAGCUGAGACUCGGCCGACGUCGCGUCAGUGAACACAACUGUUUCCUACUGAACACACAUCAGCCGAGUCAGCAACACACAACCAAUCAGGAAGUGACUGCAACAAUAUUUAAAGAAGAUUAAACUCAGUUAAGUCAUCAUAUAUUCUUUAACCCUGCUGCUGUUAUACCAUGAGCCACGAUGCAAACGAUUUAAUGCCAUAAAAACUUUGUUGCAGAAUCUUUUAUGGCUGCAUUUGUGGCUCUGCAGCUCAUCCAAAGAUCAUUUUCUGGCUUUGGACCAAAGGCAAAACACAAUAAAGCAUUUCCUGUUGUUCCUGCUGGAUUUAAAGAUAUACACUAACCUGCCACUUCAUUAGGUACACCUGUUCAGCUGCUCAUUAACACAAAUAUCUAAUCAGACAUGAGGACGUGGUGGAGACGAGCUGCUGAAGUUCAAACUGAGCGUCAGAAUGUGUUAGAAAAGUGAUUAAAGUGACUGAGCGUGGCGUGGUGGUUGGUCUGAGGACUUCAGCAGCUGCUGGUCCGCAGAGACUUCCUCUCACAAACAUCUCUGAGGUCUACAGAGAAGCUCUGAAACAGAAAACAUCCAGUGAGCAGCAGCUGCCUGGGAGAAAAUGCUGAGGUCAGAGGUCAGAGGAGGAUGGCUUCAAGCUGACAACAGUGACUCACAUAACCUCUCAUUAUAACCAAGAAGAACAUCUGUGAGCACACAGAAGAUCAAACCCUGAAGCACAGCACGCCACAAAGCUCACAUCAUCUCAGGCUGGUUAUUGGAGAUCCGGUUACUCGAGUGGCCUCCACAGCCAGCAGAUCUCAGACCAGCAGAGCACCUUUGGGACGUGAUGGAGCGGGAGACUCUCAUCAUGGAUGCAGCCGACCAAUCAGCAGCAGCUGUGACGCUGCCAUGGCAACAUGGACCGAAGUCUCUGAGGAACGUUUCCAGCACCUUGAAGAAUCUGAGCCAUUAAAGCAGCUCUGAAGGUCCAACCUGCUACUAGCAAGGUGUACCUAAUAAAGUGGCUGGUGAGGUGUGCGUUGAUAUAGUAACACUUAUUUAUCAAAUGUAUCUGCAGAAAUAAAACAUACCAGUCAAAAUAUCUGAAAUACACAUCAUUAGAUGAUAGAUUUUAUUUCAUAUUAAACUGAAUCUGUUCUACUGUAAAUGUGAUUUUUCAUUUUCAUAGAUUUGUUUGGAUGAACUGUGGACAGAAAAGUUGAUCAGACUGAUUAUUGUGUGUUUCCAUGUUAAUCUAUGGUGUAAUCAUAAAGUAAU